This 283-nucleotide ribosomal RNA is filed under the name uncultured prokaryote. RNAcentral's name for it is "partial 16S ribosomal RNA". It matches the Rfam family "Bacterial small subunit ribosomal RNA", at positions 524 to 805 of the family's 1533-position model. The record is from RNAcentral.
UACGUAGGGGGCGAGCGUUAUCCGGAUUCAUUGGGCGUAAAGCGCGCGUAGGCGGCCUGCUAGGUCGGGACUCAAAUCCGGGGGCUCAACCCCCGCCCGGUCCCGAUACCGACAGGCUUGAGUCUGGUAGGGGAAGGCGGAAUUCCAAGUGUAGCGGUGGAAUGCGCAGAUAUUUGGAAGAACACCGGUGGCGAAGGCGGCCUUCUGGGCCACGACUGACGCUGAGGCGCGAAAGCUAGGGGAGCGAACAGGAUUAGAUACCCUGGUAGUCCCUGAGCGGGCU